This is a long non-coding RNA of Bombus huntii, 1779 nucleotides long. RefSeq lists it as uncharacterized. The transcript has 3 exons. The record is from RefSeq and is a predicted model, not a curated record. Lineage: Eukaryota; Metazoa; Arthropoda; Insecta; Hymenoptera; Apidae.
UCAUAAGAAUGAAUAUUGUCAAGGCAUAAAUCAGUCGCUUUGCUACAUGAUAAACUCCAAUAAGAACAAUUUUUAUUAGUAUUAGUUAAUAACAAUUUUUCUUAUUGGAUCAUAAAUAAAUCGCGUAUUUUUUGUGUAAAAUCCAAAGACAUAAAUAGAUGAAAGAAUGACAGGCUAGUCUCUGAUAUACCACCGUAGAAUAAUUUCAAUAGUUUUUUAAUAUAUUAUCAAAGCAUAAUUUUGAACAACUUUUUAAGCUAAUCCACGGACAACCCUAGUUUCUGAGAUAUUCACAAAAAGCUGUCGCUAUCACUACAGUGAAUUCUGCCUACAAUUGUGCAUUUCAAUGUUUCUUACAAGCAUAAAAUUUGUAAUAGUUUAAAGUUUUUCUCGAUUUAUAGAUAGUUUUUAAAAUACAGUCAUUUUGUCUCAGAGUUUAAUUUGUUAAAGUUUGUGUUCGUUUCUAAACCAUUCAGUAGUUAUUAGGUUUCCUUAAUUUGAAACUUACAAGCGCGAGUAAAAUGCUUUAACACUCCAUGGGCAACAAACCAGUCUGAAAUCCCUCAAAGUAUAGUUCAUAUAUUGAAUAGGUAAUAUGCAGUAAGGUAUAAAAUAAACAUGGAAAUUAAAGUUAAUGUACAAUUGCAAGAACUUCAACUUUUAUCAUUAUGUAUUGAAGGAAGAAAUUACGAUUAAUACAAAUAUAUCAAACGUGAAAGUUACAACUAUGUAUUUAAAAAUACAAGUAUUUAAGAAUAUAUGUAUAUAUAUAAAGAAUAAAUUACCACUUUAUCUUCAAAUGUAAGGAAGAUUGGAUUAAUAGAAUUAUAUUAAUUGUUCAAAGAGAAGUUAUCUUUAUUGUGGGACAUACUAUCAUUUUUAUAAUUACAGAAAGAAUCAAUUUCAACCAUGUGUAUAUAUAACUACAAUGGAAAAUAAAUUUUAUAGUAAGACAAUAUUCAAGUAAAACAACAUGUUGUAUGUCUACAGCAAAAUAUAUGAUUAAUAAAUCAAUAAAUUAGAAAUAGUAAUUGUGGUAAACAAUUUCUUUUUUAGCAUAAUAAUACAUACAUCGUUAAUAAGCGAAGAUAUAUAUGUUAAGGACUGUGUUUGAUUUUCUUUAAAACAAUUGUUCACAGCCCUGUGAUAAAUGCGUGAAAUUAAAAGCAGAAUUCAAAAAGUUCAGUACAGCUAACAAAAAUAUAUCUUGCACGUAAAUCAGAAUUCGAAAACUCGAAAAUCGACAAGGUAUCUAUAUAUGUGGUAUAUUAUUCGCGUAUCAUCAACCACCUGUCGCGUAUUCAUAUGUUCAACAACACGUAUACAUAUAUACAUACGCAGUACGUACGUACGUACAUACGUACGCUUAUAUAUACAUACAGCAAUGAUACGCGUAUCAUUGGUUAAAAAUUACUCUCAUACUGACUCGUUUAAACGCAAAGGGACGCUCGAUUUGACUCUCGCGGAAAAAGGGCGCCUGCCACUGCUUGACGACAAAGCUGCGGACAAAGCCUGCAAGUGACAUCAGCAGUCAAAAUAAAGCAAAGGUAUUGAUGAAUAAAAAUUUAUUAUAUCAUCCUCGGAAUAAUUUUAAACGUACGAUGCAAAGUACUCCUGAAACUUAACGAUUAAGGAAAUAAUCUUGUAAAAAAUUUUAUUUGUAAAAACCUGGAACAAAUGCAACAUGACCUUCAAAAUUUUUAUAUGAUGUAUUAAUUAGAAAAUUUCAUUAUAAUCUUGUACAAUCUCUACAUUUAGCAUGGUUGCUCCCCAUGAAAG